This 253-nucleotide ribosomal RNA is filed under the name uncultured bacterium. Its description in RNAcentral is "partial 16S ribosomal RNA". It matches the Rfam family "Bacterial small subunit ribosomal RNA", at positions 524 to 776 of the family's 1533-position model. The record is from RNAcentral.
GACGGAGGAUGCAAGCGUUAUCCGGAAUUAUUGGGCGUAAAGCGUUCGUAGGUGGCUGUUCAAGUCUGCCGUUAAAGACCGGGGCUUAACUCCGGAAAAACUGUGGAAACUGAACAGCUAGAGUAGGGUAGGGGUAAGGGGAAUUCCCGGUGUAGCGGUGAAAUGCGUAGAUAUCGGGAAGAACACCGGUGGCGAAGGCGCCUUACUGGACCCUAACUGACACUGAGGGACGAAAGCUAGGGGAGCGAAAGGG